RNAcentral lists this ribosomal RNA (287 nucleotides) under uncultured bacterium. RNAcentral's name for it is "partial 16S ribosomal RNA". It matches the Rfam family "Bacterial small subunit ribosomal RNA", at positions 333 to 612 of the family's 1533-position model. The record is from RNAcentral.
GUCCGCCUACGGGGGGCAGCAGUAGGGAAUCUUCCACAAUGGACGAAAGCCUGAUGGAGCAACGCCGCGUGAGUGAAGAAGGGUUUCGGCUCGUAAAGCUCUGUUGGUAGUGAAGAAAGAUAGAGGUAGUAACUGGCCUUUAUUUGACGGUAAUUACUUAGAAAGUCACGGCUAACUACGUGCCAGCAGCCGCGGUAAUACGUAGGUGGCAAGCGUUGUCCGGAUUUAUUGGGCGUAAAGCGAGUGCAGGCGGUUCAAUAAGUCUGAUGUGAAAGCCUUCGGGUCAA